RNAcentral lists this ribosomal RNA (497 nucleotides) under uncultured bacterium. Its description in RNAcentral is "partial 16S ribosomal RNA". It matches the Rfam family "Bacterial small subunit ribosomal RNA", at positions 28 to 507 of the family's 1533-position model. The record is from RNAcentral.
GAUGAACGCUGGCGGCGUGCCUAAUACAUGCAAGUCGAGCGAACGGACGAGAAGCUUGCUUCUCUGAUGUUAGCGGCGGACGGGUGAGUAACACGUGGAUAACCUACCUAUAAGACUGGGAUAACUUCGGGAAACCGGAGCUAAUACCGGAUAAUAUUUUGAACCGCAUGGUUCAAAAGUGAAAGACGGUCUUGCUGUCACUUAUAGAUGGAUCCGCGCUGCAUUAGCUAGUUGGUAAGGUAACGGCUUACCAAGGCAACGAUGCAUAGCCGACCUGAGAGGGUGAUCGGCCACACUGGAACUGAGACACGGUCCAGACUCCUACGGGAGGCAGCAGUAGGGAAUGGUACGCAAUGGGCGAAAGCCUGACGGAGCAACGCCGCGUGAGUGAUGAAGGUCUUCGGAUCGGAAAACUCUGUUAUUAGGGAAGAACAUAUGUGUAAGUAACUGUGCACAUCUUGACGGUACCUAAUCAGAAAGCCACGGCUAACUACGUG